GGUGUGGCUGAGUGUGUGAUGAGUGUGCAAGGGGGUGUGGCCGAGUGUGUGACGGGUGUGCAAGGAGGGGCGCUGAGUGUGUGACAGGUGUGCCAAGAGAAGACCGAGCGUGUAACGAGUGUGCAAGGAGAGGGCCGAGCACACACGCGUGGGCGUGCAAGGCCAAGCCGUGAGCGUUCAAGGCGCUGACCCUGCGAGUGUGCAAGGGGGGCACAAGGAAGGGGGGUUGGGGCAGCGACGCCACCUUGCACACGCGCGUGCCCCGGGGUGCGGGCAGCGCUCAGCCCCACGCCCGCGCCUUUGCACGCCCGCUCACACCCCCGCCUCCCCUUGCACACUCAGGGGCUCCCGUUGCACGCCCGGCGCCUCUUGCACGCCCGGCUCCUGCGGCGCCUUCGCCUCCCCUUGCACGCCCGCCGCCUCUUGCACGCUCAGCAGCUCCCCUUGCACGCCCGGCUCCCACUGCACGCUCACGUCCUGCCCUUGCACGCUCAGCUCCGCUUGCACGCCCAUCUCCACGUCCCACCGCACGCUCGGGGCCGCUUGCACGCUCAGCUCCGCCUCCCGUUGCACACUCGGCUGCCAUUGCACGCCCGGCUCCUGUUGCACGCUCAGCUCCCGUUGCACGCUCAGCUCCAUGUCCUGCGGCACACUCGGCUCCCAUUGCACGCCCGGCUCCUGUUGCACGCUCAUCUCCCGUUGCACGCUCAGCUCCUGUUGCACACUCAGCUUCCUCUGGAUCUCCACCUCCCGUUGCACGCUCAGCUCCUGUUGCACGCUCAGCCUCCUCUGCGCCUCCAGCUCCCGUUGCACGCUCAGCUUCCGCGGCACGCUCAGAUCCCGCCGGGCUCCCAUGUCCAUCUCCUGUUGCACACUCAGCUCCCGUUGCACGCUCGUGUCCCAGCGGAUGCCCACGUCCACGUCCCGGCGCCCGCUGUCCACGUCCCGUUGCACACUCAGCUCCCGCCGCACGCCCCGGCGCGCGCCCCGGAGCCCACCCGCGCCCCCCGGCACGCCCGGAUCGCCUUGCACACUCG
Molecule: long non-coding RNA, 1037 nt
Filed under: Parus major (Great Tit)
Lineage: Eukaryota; Metazoa; Chordata; Aves; Passeriformes; Paridae
Description: lncRNA (ENSPMJG00000004761.1)
Source: RNAcentral